UACGUAGGGUGCGAGCGUUAAUCGGAAUUACUGGGCGUAAAGCGUGCGCAGGCGGUUCGUUAUGUCCGACGUGAAAGCCCCGAGCUCAACUUGGGAAUGGCAUUGGAAACUGGCGGGCUGGAGUGUGGCAGAGGGGGGUGGAAUUCCACGUGUAGCAGUGAAAUGCGUAGAGAUGUGGAGGAACACCGAUGGCGAAGGCAGCCCCCUGGGCCAACACUGACGCUCAGGCACGAAAGCGUGGGGAGCAAACAGG
RNAcentral lists this ribosomal RNA (253 nucleotides) under uncultured bacterium. RNAcentral describes it as "partial 16S ribosomal RNA". It matches the Rfam family "Bacterial small subunit ribosomal RNA", at positions 524 to 776 of the family's 1533-position model. The record is from RNAcentral.